CGGAGGUGCAAGCGUUAUCCGGAUUCACUGGGUUUAAAGGGUGCGUAGGCGGGCAGGUAAGUCCGUGGUGAAAUCUCCGAGCUUAACUCGGAACUGCCAUGGAUACUAUUUGUCUUGAAUACUGUGGAGGUGAGCGGAAUAUGUCAUGUAGCGGUGAAAUGCUUAGAUAUGACAUAGAACACCAAUUGCGAAGGCAGCUCACUGCGCAGUGAUUGACGCUGAGGCACGAAAGCGUGGGAUCAAACAGGAUU
Molecule: ribosomal RNA, 251 nt
Filed under: uncultured bacterium
Lineage: Bacteria
Description: partial 16S ribosomal RNA
Rfam family: Bacterial small subunit ribosomal RNA
Source: RNAcentral